Long non-coding RNA from Rhododendron vialii, 522 nucleotides. RefSeq lists it as uncharacterized. The record is from RefSeq and is a predicted model, not a curated record. The transcript is spliced from 3 exons. Lineage: Eukaryota; Viridiplantae; Streptophyta; Magnoliopsida; Ericales; Ericaceae.
AUAUGUUGUUUAAUUUAGUAUUGCAUAUAUUUGUUGGCAUGAAAUUGCCAUAUCCAUAUUGUUGAAUGUUUGCAAGCGCUUAGAGCUGCAGAAGGAUUGGAAGCUAUUGCAACCAUAAAAGCAAUCAACACUAGCUGGCUGCAUCCAACAAUUAACCAAUAACUUGGAAUCUGAUGUCACAGUCGACAUUGUUCCAAACGUGAAGAGCAUGAAGUCUAUGUUGGUAUCUCCAACUCAUUUGGCUAUGGUUGGCAUAAUGUGGUGGUUGUUUUCGCUCCAUUCAAGCCUUAGAUGAAGGUAAAUCGAAGUAACCUCUCUCUUCACCUUUUUCCUUUUGAAAAAAUUUGGUUUUGGUAUCAUUUUGAUUGUCUAAAGCAUAACUACAAAAUAUUCGAGUAUAUCACGGUUUUGUCAUUUUAUGAUAUUUGAGUGAUGGUUGUUGAAAUUAAACCGCUCAACGUACUUGAAAAAUAUACAGCUGGUGAUAUGAACAAAAAUAACAUAUGUAUAUUAACUUCCUGA